CGUCUUCACCGCAUCAGCCUCUCACGUCUUCAUUAUAUCCAUCACGUUCUCAUCACUCAUCUCAAUCCCAAGCCUUCAUCACCAUUGACGCUGAGAUCGGAGCUGCCGUACGUUGUGUUUCGUUUGAUCACGUCUAAGUGGGGAGAGAAAGCAAACAUGACAUAUCGUCACCAUUCAACACCGGUUUGAUUAGGAGUGAAAGCAGAAAACAAUGUCAAGUAGUGGAUUUGGUGACCCGUUUAUUGAUACGUCUGAAGUAAAUUAAGGCAAUUUAUUUACGGAUCUGGAUAGCCCUUGUUGCCAAGAUUUCAGAACAGUUUUCUGAUUCUCAAUCAGAGAUCUCGCUUCAAGGAAGCCAUAGCAAUUGACGGUUUGUCAAACGGAGAUUCAAGUUGGAGUUUUGUAAGGCUCAUAUCUUUCGAAGCAGAGAGAAUCAGUUGACCUGUAAAGUGUCUCUGAAAAGCUCAUAUUGUCUAGAAUGCACAGCAUGUGGCGGAGAUUAAAUCGAAGUUAUAUUUAAGACGUUUUAAAUAUUUCUUUCUCGCCAAGUAACUGCAGACACUGUCCAAAUCUAUGCUGAGUAUGAACUAGAAAACAGUUGGUGGGUGAUUGAUGGCAACGUUUGGAGGUCGAAACAGCGUCUAAUCGGGACGAAAUUUGGCGGAGAGCUUCAUGGUACUACUGGCUAGAUUAUCAACGGUGGGAUUGCGUUUAUAACGGUUAGUUCUUGAC
Molecule: long non-coding RNA, 732 nt
Organism: Arabidopsis lyrata subsp. lyrata
Lineage: Eukaryota; Viridiplantae; Streptophyta; Magnoliopsida; Brassicales; Brassicaceae
Exons: 4
Source: RefSeq, a predicted model, not a curated record